UGCCCUAGUAACGGCGAGUGAAGCGGCAACAGCUCAAAUUUGAAAUCUGGCGUCUUUGGCGUCCGAGUUGUAAUUUGCAGAGGGCGCUUUGGCAUUGGCAGCGGUCCAAGUUCCUUGGAACAGGACGUCACAGAGGGUGAGAAUCCCGUACGUGGUCGCUAGCCUUUACCGUGUAAAGCCCCUUCGACGAGUCGAGUUGUUUGGGAAUGCAGCUCUAAAUGGGAGGUAAAUUUCUUCUAAAGCUAAAUACUGGCCAGAGACCGAUAGCGCACAAGUAGAGUGAUCGAAAGAUGAAAAGCACUUUGGAAAGAGAGUUAAAAAGCACGUGAAAUUGUUGAAAGGGAAGCGCUUGCAGCCAGACUUGCCUGUAGUUGCUCAUCCGGGUUUUUACCCGGUGCACUCUUCUAUAGGCAGGCCAGCAUCAGUUUGGGCGGUUGGAUAAAGGUCUCUGUCAUGUACCUCUCUUCGGGGAGAACUUAUAGGGGAGACGACAUGCAACCAGCCUGGACUGAGGUCCGCGCAUCUGCUAGGAUGCUGGCGUAAUGGCUGUAAGCGGCCCGUCUUGAAACACGGACCAAGGAGUCUAACAUCUAUGCGAGUGUUUGGGUGUCAAGCCCGAGCGCGUAAUGAAAGUGAACGGAGGUGGGAACCUUUCGGGGUGCACCAUCGACCGAUCCUGAUGUCUUCGGAUGGAUUUGAGUAAGAGCAUAGCUGUUGGGACCCGAAAGAUGGUGAACUAUGCUUGAAUAGGGUGAAGCCAGAGGAAACUCUGGUGGAGGCUCGCAGCGGUUCUGACGUGCAAAUCGAUCGUCAAAUUU
This 818-nucleotide ribosomal RNA is filed under the name Ascochyta nigripycnidia. Its description in RNAcentral is "partial large subunit ribosomal RNA". It matches the Rfam family "Eukaryotic large subunit ribosomal RNA", at positions 76 to 912 of the family's 3401-position model. The record is from RNAcentral. Lineage: Eukaryota; Fungi; Ascomycota; Dothideomycetes; Pleosporales; Didymellaceae.